Molecule: ribosomal RNA, 253 nt
Filed under: uncultured bacterium
Lineage: Bacteria
Description: partial 16S ribosomal RNA
Rfam family: Bacterial small subunit ribosomal RNA
Source: RNAcentral
UACGUAGGGGGCAAGCGUUGUCCGGAUUUAUUGGGCGUAAAGAGCGUGUAGGCGGCCAUGCAGGUCCGCUGUGAAAACUCGAGGCUCAACCUCGAGAUGUCGGUGGAAACCGUAUGGCUAGAGUCCGGAAGAGGAGAGUGGAAUUCCUGGUGUAGCGGUGAAAUGCGCAGAUAUCAGGAAGAACACCCGUGGCGAAGGCGGCUCUCUGGGACGGUACUGACGCUGAGACGCGAAAGCGUGGGGAGCGAACAGG